RNAcentral lists this ribosomal RNA (484 nucleotides) under uncultured bacterium. Its description in RNAcentral is "partial 16S ribosomal RNA". It matches the Rfam family "Bacterial small subunit ribosomal RNA", at positions 30 to 507 of the family's 1533-position model. The record is from RNAcentral.
AUUGAACGCUGGCGGCAGGCCUAACACAUGCAAGUCGAACGGAUAAAGGAAGCUUGCUCCUGGUUUCAGCUGCGGACCGAUGGGUAAUGCCUAGCAAUCUGCCUGGUCGUCGGGGCUGACGUCCGGAAACGGGCGCUAAUACCGCAUCCGUCCAGAGCUUGAAAGUGGGUGACCCUCAGACAUCAGGCUCUCCGAUGACCCUAAGUCGGAUUAGCUAGUUGGUGGGGUAAAGGCCUACCAAGACGACGAUCCGUAACUGGUCUGAGAGGAUGAUCAGUCACACUGGAACUGAGACACGGUCCAGACUCCUACGGGAGGCAGCAGUGGGGAAUAUUGGACAAUGGGCGAAAGCCUGAUCCAGCCAUGCCGCGUGUGUGAAGAAGGUCUUCGGAUUGUAAAGCACUUUAAGUUGGGAGGAAGAGCAGUAAGUUAAUACGUUGCUGUUUUGACGGUACCAACAGAAUAAGCACCGGCUAACUUCGUG